Stegodyphus mimosarum is the source of this 119-nucleotide non-coding RNA. NCBI's taxonomy places the organism in Eukaryota, Metazoa, Arthropoda, Arachnida, Araneae, Eresidae. The record is from Rfam.
GUCAACGGCCAUACCCUGCUGAAAGUACCGGUUCUCGUCCGAUCACCAAAGUCAAGCAGCAUCGGGCACGGUCAGUACUUGGGAGGGUGACCACCUGGGAACACCGCAUGCUGUUGGCA